AACGAACGCUGGCGGCGCGCUUAACACAUGCAAGUCGAACGAGAAGGCGUAGCAAUACGCUCGUACAGUGGCGAACGGGUGAGGAAUACAUGGGUAACCUACCCUCGAGUGGGGGAUAACCCGCCGAAAGGCGGGCUAAUACCGCGUACGCUUCCGAUCUUGCGGGAUCGGAAGGAAAGCUGUCCCUUGGGGAUGGCGCUCAAGGAUGGGCUCAUGUCCUAUCAGCUUGUUGGAGGGUAACGGCCUACCAAGGCAUCGACGGGUAGCUGGUCUGAGAGGACGAUCAGCCACACUGGCACUGCGACACGGGCCAGACUCCUACGGGAGGCAGCAGUGAGGAAUAUUGCGCAAUGGGCGAAAGCCUGACGCAGCGACGCCGCGUGGGGGAUGAAGGUCUUCGGAUUGUAAACCCCUUUCGGGAGGGAAGACGGGCCUUAGACAACUAAGGCGGACGGUACCUCCAGAAGCAGCCACGGCUAACUUCGUGCCAGCCGCCGCGGUAAG
Molecule: ribosomal RNA, 504 nt
Filed under: uncultured bacterium
Lineage: Bacteria
Description: bacterial SSU rRNA
Rfam family: Bacterial small subunit ribosomal RNA
Source: RNAcentral